GGACCAGGAAGCGGGCGGCGGCCCCUCUGCUGCUAAGCAGCUUCCGCGCUUCAGGUCCCGCGGCUCUGCGUGUUCGGACCCUCAGGGCCGAGCGCCAAGUGCCCAACUCGCUGCUCCGUGGAGCUGACCGCGUUCUGAGAUCUACAGAAACACAAGAAAACUUUACAUGUAAAAAAUGAUAGGAGACAGCAGUUGAGGAAUAGCAAUUAAUUGACAGCUCUGGAGUACAGAAGUCUGAAAUGGGUCUCACUGGGCUAAAAUCAAGGUGUCAGCAGGCCCACAUUUCUUCUGGAGGCGCAAACCCAAUUCCUAGCCUUUUCCUUGGCCUGUGGCCUCUUUCCACCUUCAAAACGAACUAUUCCAAACAAGCUAUGAUUCUCUUGGCAAAACAGCCUCAUCAAGAGUCUCACCAGCCUCUCCCUUGGGAACAUAAAGACUCAGACAAGGGGGGGAAGACAAGGCUAGACACCUGUCCCCAAUGGGAAGGAAGAACACACCCGGAAAGCAGCUCUGACAGCGGGAGCCACGGGGAGGAGAACAGUAAUUGGAGAAGAGAGACUGCUUCCAAUCUGUUGCUGGUUUAUAAGGUGGGCUAAGAAUUCCAUUGACAUGAGGCAUGAACAGAAGAAAAAAAAAGUUUAAUGACAUGUAUACCUCCUGUAUACAUGGGAGAGACCCAGAAAAACUGAGUAACUCACCAAAAUGUUGGACGUUAUCACCUUAAAUAUCCUCAGCUAAAGACAACCGAUGUUGGAGGUCAGGAGAAUCAGCUAUGGGAGGGUCCCAGGAAAAAGUACAAUAAAAAGAGUAAAUAUUGCCUUUUCCAUUAGUAAGAGUCACUAGAGAUUGAGUCAUCCCCCUUCCUGGUACACCAUUAGAAAUGGAGAUUUCCCUUAUAUAUGUAUGCAUCCUUUAUAAAGGGUAACUUCUGCUUGGUUUUCAGAGCGUCCCCAGGGUUUGCUGUUUCUUAAAAAGAACCAGCUUAAAAUAAUCCUUAUGAAAAAGAGACACACUUUUGGGUAACAAAUUUGGCUCCCCUACACAGUUAUGAGGAAGACAUGUUAAGAGAGCAAAAGUAGGAAUGCAGUAAAACAAAACAAACAAACAAACAAAAAAAACCAAAUAGUAGUCAAAAAGCAAAAGGAGUUUGAGGAUAAUAUAGGAUCCGAAGUCAAGAGAGGAGAGAAUUUCAAGGAGGAACGUGGGCCCCCAAGAAGAAAUAUUUAUUUGAUGUGAACCCUGAGAAAGAAUUUAUCUGCUGAGAUGGACUCCCCCUGGCCAACCGAGAACCCAAAUGUUAUUAAUGAUAAGAACCUAGUGGCCAUUUGCUGACAGGGGCUUCUCACGUACUCUGUAUUCUGGGAAAAUGUCAGAUUGAACUCUAGGCUUCUUGCUCAUUUACACAAAUUGAAUCAACGGUUAUGAGGAAGUUCCUGGCCUGUCUUUUGACCAAUGGACUAAGACCUGCUCCCUCAAUAAGAACUGCUCUAUAAUGACUGGGCAGGAAACAUGUUACUGACUAAUCAGGACUUCCAAACUUGGACCAAUCAGAAGUGUACAAAUUUGGGUAUCUCAUUUACAUAAUAUGGACCUAAUUGGGAACCUGGUUGGGAACUUUCUAUAUGAAAGGUAACCCCCCCCGCCCCCGCUUGUUGAUGCAUUCCCUGUCAAGGGCAUAUGUGGGGUUGUGACCUGAUCCCUGGUAGGGGGGUCUAUGGAUGUUGCAUUCUCACAUCUGUAUGUCUCUCUUCCUCUCACUUCCUCUCUCUAAAAAUCAAUAAAUUACUCUGUCUUUUUUGUUUUUAAGACAAAAAUCCCCUUUUUCUCAGCAGAACACAAUUUAGGUUACUCCUUGAAUCAGUGUCUCCAGGGCUGCAGCUCCUUUUGUUCAAAUGCUUUGUAUUCUUUAUUACAGUCUAAAAUUAAUUUUGGUUUACAUCUAGAAUCAAGAGUCUAGAGUUCUAGCCUACCUUGUAGUAGCUAUGUGACUUAGGAUAAGCUACUUAACAUAGAUCCACCUUGGUGUCCUUAUCUAUAAAUUAAAAUGAUGAUGAUGAUACCAGUUCCAUUUCUACAAGAUUAAGAGGAACAAAUCAAAAAAGAUAUCUGAAGGCAUAUUGUAAACCAUAAUGAAAUAUGUAAAU
Long non-coding RNA from Myotis daubentonii (Daubenton's bat), 2144 nucleotides. RefSeq lists it as uncharacterized. NCBI's taxonomy places the organism in Eukaryota, Metazoa, Chordata, Mammalia, Chiroptera, Vespertilionidae. The record is from RefSeq and is a predicted model, not a curated record.